UUCCGGUUGAUCCUGCCGGACCCGACUGCUAUCAGAGUGGGACUAAGCCAUGCGAGUCGACGUAGCAAUGCGUGGCGAACGGCUCAGUAACACGUAGUCAACAUGCCCAGGGGACGUGGAUAACCUCGGGAAACUGAGAAUAAACCACGAUAGGUCACGAUUUCUGGAAUGGAUCAUGGCAUAAAUCUACAUGGCCCCUGGAUUGGACUGCGGCCGAUCAGGCAGUUGGUGAGGUAAUGGCCCACCAAACCUAUAACCGGUACGGGCUCUGAGAGGAGAAGCCCGGAGAUGGGCACUGAGACAAGGGCCCAGGCCCUAUGGGGCGCAGCAGGCGCGAAACCUCUGCAAUAGGCGAAGGCCUGACAGGGUUACUCUGAGUGAUUUCCGCUAGGGGGAUCUUUUGGCACCUCUAAAAAUGGUGCAGAAUAAGGGGUGGGCAAGUCUGGUGUCAGCCGCCGCGGUAAUACCAGCACCCCGAGUGGUCGGGACGAUUAUUGGGCCUAAAGCAUCCGUAGCCGGUUCUGCAAGUCUUCCGUUAAAUCCAGCCGCUCAACGGAUGGGCCGCGGAGGAUACUAUAGGACUAGGAGGCGGGAGAGGCAAGCGGUACUCAGUGGGUAGGGGUAAAAUCCUUUGUUCCAUUGAAGACCACCAGUGGCGAAGGCGGCUUGCCAGAACGCGCUCGACGGUGAGGGAUGAAAGCUGGGGGAGCAAACCGGAUUAGAUACCCGGGUAGUCCCAG
Molecule: ribosomal RNA, 740 nt
Filed under: uncultured archaeon
Lineage: Archaea
Description: bacterial SSU rRNA
Rfam family: Archaeal small subunit ribosomal RNA
Source: RNAcentral